GGCUCAGGAUGAACGCUAGCGGCAGGCUUAACACAUGCAAGUCGAGGGGUAUAGUUCUUCGGAAUUAGAGACCGGCGCACGGGUGCGUAACGCGUAUGCAAUCUACCUUCACAGAGGGAUAGCCCAGAGAAAUUUGGAUUAAUACCUCAUAGUAUAGCAGUUUCGCAUGAAACCACUAUUAAAGUCACAACGGUGAAAGAUGAGCAUGCGUCCCAUUAGCUAGUUGGUAAGGUAACGGCUUACCAAGGCUACGAUGGGUAGGGGGUCCUGAGAGGGAGAUCCCCCACACUGGUACUGAGACACGGACCAGACUCCUACGGGAGGCAGCAGUGAGGAGUAUUGGACAAUGGGCGCAAGCCUGAUCCAGCCAUGCCGCGUGCAGGAUGACGGUCCUAUGGAUUGUAAACUGCUUUGUACAGGAAGAAACACUACUUCGUGAAGUAGCUUGACGGUACUGUAAGAAUAAGGAUCGGCUAACUCCGUG
RNAcentral lists this ribosomal RNA (484 nucleotides) under uncultured bacterium. RNAcentral's name for it is "bacterial SSU rRNA". It matches the Rfam family "Bacterial small subunit ribosomal RNA", at positions 21 to 507 of the family's 1533-position model. The record is from RNAcentral.